UCCCGUGUGGCUCAGUUGGUAGAGCAUGGUGUUUGCAACGCCAGGGUUGUCGGUUUGAUUCCCAAGGGGG
This is a non-coding RNA of Salmo salar (Atlantic salmon), 70 nucleotides long. The record is from Rfam. NCBI's taxonomy places the organism in Eukaryota, Metazoa, Chordata, Actinopteri, Salmoniformes, Salmonidae.